AUUUCCGUAGUGUAGUGGUCAUCACGUUUGCCUCACACCAAAGGUCCCCAGGUUCAAAACUGGGUGGAAACA
Molecule: non-coding RNA, 72 nt
Organism: Danionella cerebrum
Lineage: Eukaryota; Metazoa; Chordata; Actinopteri; Cypriniformes; Danionidae
Source: the annotation of a GenBank genome assembly